Molecule: ribosomal RNA, 301 nt
Filed under: uncultured bacterium
Lineage: Bacteria
Description: partial 16S ribosomal RNA
Rfam family: Bacterial small subunit ribosomal RNA
Source: RNAcentral
CAGUCGCCGCGGGAAUACGGAGGGUGCAAGCGUUAAUCGGAAUUACUGGGCGUAAAGCGCACGCAGGCGGCUUCUUAAGUCGGAUGUGAAAUCCCUGAGCUUAACUUAGGAAUUGCAUUCGAUACUGGGAAGCUAGAGUAUGGGAGAGGAUGGUAGAAUUCCAGGUGUAGCGGUGAAAUGCGUAGAGAUCUGGAGGAAUACCGAUGGCGAAGGCAGCCAUCUGGCCUAAUACUGACGCUGAGGUACGAAAGCAUGGGGAGCAAACAGGAUUAGAUACCCGAGUAGUCCCUGUCUCUUAUAC